RNAcentral lists this ribosomal RNA (440 nucleotides) under uncultured bacterium. RNAcentral's name for it is "partial 16S ribosomal RNA". It matches the Rfam family "Bacterial small subunit ribosomal RNA", at positions 338 to 795 of the family's 1533-position model. The record is from RNAcentral.
CCUACGGGGUGCAGCAGUGGGGGAUAUUGCACAAUGGGGGAAACCCUCAUGCAGCGACGCCGCGUGGGUGAAGAAGCGCCUCGGCGCGUAAAGCCCUGUCAGCAGGGAAGAAAAUGACGGUACCUGAAGAAGAAGCCCCGGCUAACUACGUGCCAGCAGCCGCGGUAAUACGUAGGGGGCAAGCGUUAUCCGGAUUUACUGGGUGGAAAGGGGGCGCAGACGGCGAGGCAAGCCAGGAGUGAAAGCCCGGGGCCCAACCCCGGGACUGCUCUUGGAACUGCGUGGCUGGAGUGCAGGAGGGGCAGGCGGAAUUCCUGGUGUAGCGGUGAAAUGCGUAGAUAUCAGGAGGAACACCGGUGGCGAAGGCGGCCUGCUGGACUGCAACUGACGUUGAGGCCCGAAAGCGUGGGGAGCAAACAGGAUUAGAUACCCCAGUAGUC